UUGACUAUUCGACCUCAAAUCGGGCGGGACUACCCG
Molecule: ribosomal RNA, 36 nt
Filed under: Radulodon americanus
Lineage: Eukaryota; Fungi; Basidiomycota; Agaricomycetes; Polyporales; Cerrenaceae
Also listed under: 1 other name
Description: partial 28S ribosomal RNA
Source: RNAcentral